AAGAUUUUAAGUUAAAAAAACUAAUAUCCUUCAAAGUUAUAAAUAAAGAAUUUCUAACUCUUUAAGUCUUA
RNAcentral lists this transfer RNA (71 nucleotides) under Theopropus elegans. RNAcentral's name for it is "tRNA-Trp". Lineage: Eukaryota; Metazoa; Arthropoda; Insecta; Mantodea; Hymenopodidae. The record is from RNAcentral.